GAUUAACGCUGGCGGCAUGCCUAAUACAUGCAAGUCGAACGGAAGCAGCAAUGCUUUAGUGGCGAACGGGUGAGUAACACGUAGGGAACCUACCUAUACGACGAGGAUAACUACUGGAAACGGUAGCUAAAACUGGAUAGGAUCAAUUGAGGCAUCUUGAUUGAUUUAAAGAUCCUUCGGGAUUACGUAGAGAUGGCCCUGCGGCGCAUUAGCUAGUUGGUGAGGUAACGGCCACCAAGGCGACGAUGCGUAGCUGAGCUGAGAGGCUAAACAGCCACACUGGGACUGAGACACGGCCCAGACUCCUACGGGAGGCAGCAGUAGGGAAUUUUCGGCAAUGGGGGAAACCCUGACCGAGCAAUGCCGCGUGAACGAUGAAGGUCUUCGGAUUGUAAAGUUCUGUGAUUGGGGAAGAAUGGUAUUCUUAGGGAAUGAGGAGUACAUGACGGUACCCGAUUAGAAAGCCCCGGCUAACUAUGUGCCAGCAGCCGCGGUAAUUA
RNAcentral lists this ribosomal RNA (500 nucleotides) under uncultured bacterium. RNAcentral describes it as "bacterial SSU rRNA". It matches the Rfam family "Bacterial small subunit ribosomal RNA", at positions 28 to 525 of the family's 1533-position model. The record is from RNAcentral.